CAGCAGCCGCGGUAAUACAGAGGGUGCGAGCGUUAAUCGGAUUUACUGGGCGUAAAGCGUGCGUAGGCGGCUUUUUAAGUCAGAGGUGAAAGCCCGGGGCUCAACCCCGGAUGUGCCUUUGAGACUGCAGAGCUAGAAUCGCGGAGAGGGAGUGGAAUUCCGAGCGUAGAGGUGAAAUUCGUAGAUAUUCGGAAGAACACCAGUGGCGAAGGCGGCUCACUGGACGCGUAUUGACGCUGAGGUGCGAAAGCGUGGGGAGCAAACAGGAUUAGAUACCCGCGUAGUCCCUGUCUCUUAUACA
This 301-nucleotide ribosomal RNA is filed under the name uncultured bacterium. Its description in RNAcentral is "partial 16S ribosomal RNA". It matches the Rfam family "Bacterial small subunit ribosomal RNA", at positions 509 to 808 of the family's 1533-position model. The record is from RNAcentral.